UACAGAGGGGGCAAGCGUUAUUCGGAAUUAUUGGGCGUAAAGGGCGCGUAGGCGGCUUUGCAAGUGACGGGUGAAAUCCCUCGGCUUAACCGAGGAACUGCCUGUCAAACUGCAUGGCUUGAGACCGGGAGAGGUGAGUGGAAUUCCCAGUGUAGCGGUGAAAUGCGUAGAUAUUGGGAGGAACACCGGUGGCGAAGGCGACAUCCUGGACCGGUAUUGACGCUGAGGCGCGAAAGCCAGGGGAGCAAACGGG
This 253-nucleotide ribosomal RNA is filed under the name uncultured bacterium. RNAcentral's name for it is "partial 16S ribosomal RNA". It matches the Rfam family "Bacterial small subunit ribosomal RNA", at positions 524 to 776 of the family's 1533-position model. The record is from RNAcentral.